GAUACAAACACUUGCAGACAGUUAAGCUUAUACCCAGAAAAAAAAUAUAUAUAUAUUGAACCAAAAGCCAAAGAUAACAGAAAACCCAAAAAAAAAAAAAAAAAAAAGGAGCGGAUUGCUCUUCUGCAUUCUCUUGUGAUGAAAUUAUCUAAAGGUCCACGCAUAGGUACGAGAUGACAGUUCCUGCCCUCCUUUUUGUCCGUUCACUUACCUUCCACUUCUCAACCAUGACCUUCUUUAUGUUGGCACAACCAGAAACCACAGUGGCAACUCCUGCUGCAGUAAUACCAGGACAAUAAACCAUGUGACAGGACUCGAGCAUUCUGCAAUUUUUAACAAGAUGGGAUAGACCGACAUCAGUUAUUUGACGACAGUGCGACAACACUACGUCCUUGAGUAGUGGACAGCCUUUUCCUAACUCAACCAUUGCCUGAUCUCCCAAAUUCUGCCGAUCAAGAAAUUUAAAUUUAAUAACACUUUAUGAAAAAUAAAUUGGAAGAUGUACCAAGAAGAGACAGAAAAGGGCUUACCUGGAGAACGCUUACAUCCAGGUAAUUGAGUUCAGGGCAUCCUUUUGCAAUGGCCAUUAUUCCAGCAUCACCUAUUUGAUGGCAGCCACUAACAUUUAGAUGUUGCAAGGAGCAACCCUGGCCUAUGGAAAUGAGGGCCUCAUCCCCCACCCUGUUAAUAUGAAAGAGUGAAUAAGGAAAGCUAGAGAACCAGAGAGGUUUAAUCCACUAAGCUUCCCAAAAAUAUAAACAAUUCUAUCAGAAGUUUAUCUACUGAUACGAAAUCAGCUAGAACAUUAUGGUAGAAGCCAACUUCAAUGAUUCACCAAAUUUCCCCAAAUGGUGUCGAGCAAACAAAGAAGGCUUUGCAGAUCAUGGAUUAUUGCGAUCAUAUAACAUGAAACUACACCAUGACAACUACUGAAUGAAAGAGAAACAAUCAACCAAGUAUCUAUAUGAUACCAAACCAACAUAAAAUAUCUCUCAAGUUAGCAAAUUUAAAUAAUAAGCAUCCCAGGUGGAAAUGGGAAUAACUAUGAAGCUGAGGGGAAAAAAAUUUACCGUACCUGUCACAGAACCUGAGGCUGAGUUCAGUCAGAGAAUUGCAAUGCUCACCCACAGCUACAAUUCCAUUGUUGCCAAUCUAUGAACAAGAACCAUAAAAAGUUAAUAGAUCCUCAAAGGUAAAAUAACAUUUACAUCAUUUAAAUUGAUAACUAAAGAACAUGAGCAGACUGGUUAGAGAAAAUACCAGUUCUUCAGUAAAAUAGGCAGAUACAAACAAAUGACUAAACAAUAAACAACAGACAAAUAAGAAAAAAAACUUUUAUAUUUCUGAAUCGACUGUUUCUUACAUUUCUUAUAAUCGUUUUGCCCAUUUCUAAUUGUCCCAAACCAACAUUCAGGACAGCACUUAAUGUCAAAAAACCAAAAUUGAUCUCUGAAACUGAAAGGAUGUCCUAGAUCAUUAGCUUGGUACAGAGAAUCAUGCCAGAAGUCCAACAUUUUGCACAGAAUUAUAGUAGAAUAGUAAAAGCAAAAAAUAUGUUGCAAAACUUCUUCCGAGUUCAAGCAACAAUCUGUUAACCAUAAAAUCAGUGCCAGGAACUUAGCAAUAUUUUUGUCAUAGUAUCAUGUUAGUUUCUGCAUUCUCUUGUGAUGAAAUUAUCUAAAGGUCCACGCAUAGGUACGAGAUGACAGUUCCUGCCCUCCUUUUUGUCCGUUCACUUACCUUCCACUUCUCAACCAUGACCUUCUUUAUGUUGGCACAACCAGAAACCACAGUGGCAACUCCUGCUGCAGUAAUACCAGGACAAUAAACCAUGUGACAGGACUC
Molecule: long non-coding RNA, 1845 nt
Filed under: Citrus sinensis (sweet orange)
Lineage: Eukaryota; Viridiplantae; Streptophyta; Magnoliopsida; Sapindales; Rutaceae
Description: long non-coding RNA (CSIN_LNC003757)
Source: RNAcentral